RNAcentral lists this ribosomal RNA (564 nucleotides) under uncultured Glomus. RNAcentral describes it as "SSU rRNA". It matches the Rfam family "Eukaryotic small subunit ribosomal RNA", at positions 569 to 1127 of the family's 1831-position model. The record is from RNAcentral. Lineage: Eukaryota; Fungi; Glomeromycota; Glomeromycetes; Glomerales; Glomeraceae.
AGCAGCCGCGGUAAUUCCAGCUCCAAUAGCGUAUAUUAAAGUUGUUGCAGUUAAAAAGCUCGUAGUUGAAUUUCGGGGUCAGUAGGUCGGUCGUGCCACUGGUAUGAACUGGUUUUACUGAUUCCUCCCUCUUGAAGAACUGUAAUGCCAUUAAUUUGGUGUUGCAGGGAAUCAGGACUGUUACUUUGAAAAAAUUAGAGUGUUUAAAGCAGGCUUUAGCUUGAAUACAUUAGCAUGGAAUAAUGAAAUAGGACGUUUGAUCCUAUUUUGUUGGUUUCUAGGAUUGACGUAAUGAUUAAUAGGGAUAGUUGGGGGCAUUAGUAUUCAAUUGUCAGAGGUGAAAUUCUUGGAUUUAUUGAAGACUAACUACUGCGAAAACAUUUGCCAAGGAUGUUUUCAUUAAUCAAGAACGAAAGUUAGGGAUCGAAAGACGAUCAGAUACCGUCGUAGUCUUAACCAUAAACUAUGCCGACUAGGAAUCAAGACGAUGUUAAAUUUUUUAAUGUAACUUCGUUUUAGGCAACCGUUUAACGGGGAAAACCAAAGGUUAGUUUUGGGGUUACG